GUAGAAACUUUCUAACAUGUUGCUGCUUCUAGAUAUUGUCUAGACAAUGGAACGUGUCAUCUUGUUCAACAAAAUCGCCCGAGGAAGUGUUUCGUACAUACUUACUUUGUCAGCUAGAAUUGUUCCGUUUCUUUGUGGUUGCAGGUGCUAGCUCUUCUAUUGUUUACAUGAGAAAGGAAUGACCAUUGUUGAUCGUACGUGGGCGAUCAACCUAUGAUUUACCUGUCCAUAUUUUCGCAUAGCGACCGAAAUCGCUCUACAUGUACAAGAGCUCACGUGCCUGCUUGCGUCUGGUUGUUUUGCAUUAUGAGUUCAGCGUAUUCGAAACGUACACGCGACAAGACAUCGCCUACUGGUAGCACUCCCUAGAGUGAUCUAAAAAAAUCACGUGAAUCCGUGGUAGAGGAGAAAGACCAGAGAGAAGGCAUACAAGUGCAGCGUCGAUUUGCAGGGAAGGCCUUGUUUCGAGAAUGGACGAAAGGUGAAGAAAAGCUUCUCGUUAUGUACGUGUCUUUACACUGUUUGGAGCUGGAUUCAGCAUGGCCCAAAUUUCUCUAUGACAAUUCGAAUGGUGACUCUAACCGAACAGCAUCGUCUUGUCGUUUUCGUGUUAUUGGCCAUCUUGCUAAGAGAUUUGCUACUGUCACUGAUGCAGAGAUCCAUUAUGGUAUUGACCUUGAGGGUGUAGAUGCAGAAGACCAAUCUGUGCUAGCCGUUGCCUCUCCAAUCCUGAAAUCAAAGAGACCCACAGCUGGCAAGACAAAGACAAAUGUUCACAGUAAUGUAGAAUCCCAGCCAUCCACAACAACAACAACUGCCGGUACCCAGACUGAAUGUUUUCAAUCACAGGUAGCUGAUUUUCUGAAGUCUCAACCAUUGAGGUUCCAGGUUUGAAGCAGCUCAAAGCCAAGUGGAAGGUGUUGACGAUGCCUUUAUUGAACUUUCAUUAAAAGCAAUGAAAAAUUUAAAGGAGGAUGGCCGGAGCAACAUUAUAUAUGGCUUGAUACGUUGUUGCUCCCUUCCUGACACUUCUGGCCAUCCCACCAGACUGCCUCUCAACAGAAUGCCAACAAGAUACAUUGCAUCAGAUAAUUUUUUUCAAUGCCAGUCAUUACAGCAAUGUUCCUAAAUGCCCCCGUGAUGAUGAGGACUGGUUGGGCACCAUGUAUGCUGAAUUUGGUACGAAAUGGCACUGUUUGCACAAUGGCCCUGCCUGGCAGCAUGAUGAACACUCUGGAUUGAAAAGCACCAUGAUCCCGGGAAAUGCUAAGAUAAACAAUGCUUCUUUGUCAUUGUCUACACUGAGAACUCGUGUAGUCAAUACUGGAAUUUUCGAAACUACAGAAAUUCAGGUGAGCUAGCUAUAUAAGCUGGCUUUCUUCUUGUACAAGUGGAGAGUAAUUGUCUUGUUCAAACA
Corticium candelabrum is the source of this 1417-nucleotide long non-coding RNA. RefSeq lists it as uncharacterized. Lineage: Eukaryota; Metazoa; Porifera; Homoscleromorpha; Homosclerophorida; Plakinidae. The record is from RefSeq and is a predicted model, not a curated record. The transcript is spliced from 6 exons.